GUGAUUGGUAGAGGAGCGAAAACCAAUAGUAAGCUUUCUGAGAGGAAUGAGCCUCGGUGAUGAAAGAAGAAAGGGGAAUUCGCCGAAGUGCAAGGAAGACUCAUCUGACUUGUGCUGGACCUAUGUUGAAGAAGCAUAGGGCUGUCACAUACCUACACCCAAGAGGUAUGUGGAGAACUAUCUCACGA
RNAcentral lists this non-coding RNA (188 nucleotides) under Halalkalibacter okhensis. Its description in RNAcentral is "Bacillus okhensis Lysine sequence". It matches the Rfam family "Lysine riboswitch aptamer". Rfam says of the family: Riboswitches are metabolite binding domains within certain messenger RNAs that serve as precision sensors for their corresponding targets. Allosteric rearrangement of mRNA structure is mediated by ligand binding, and this results in modulation of gene expression. The record is from Rfam by way of RNAcentral. Lineage: Bacteria; Bacillati; Bacillota; Bacilli; Caryophanales; Bacillaceae.